Molecule: ribosomal RNA, 488 nt
Filed under: uncultured bacterium
Lineage: Bacteria
Description: partial 16S ribosomal RNA
Rfam family: Bacterial small subunit ribosomal RNA
Source: RNAcentral
AUUGAACGCUGGCGGCAGGCCUAACACAUGCAAGUCGAACGGUAACAGGAAGAAGCUUGCUUCUUUGCUGACGAGUGGCGGACGGGUGAGUAAUGUCUGGGAAACUGCCUGAUGGAGGGGGAUAACUACUGGAAACGGUAGCUAAUACCGCAUAACGUCGCAAGACCAAAGAGGGGGACCUUCGGGCCUCUUGCCAUCGGAUGUGCCCAGAUGGGAUUAGCUAGUAGGUGGGGUAACGGCUCACCUAGGCGACGAUCCCUAGCUGGUCUGAGAGGAUGACCAGCCACACUGGAACUGAGACACGGUCCAGACUCCUACGGGAGGCAGCAGUGGGGAAUAUUGCACAAUGGGCGCAAGCCUGAUGCAGCCAUGCCGCGUGUAUGAAGAAGGCCUUCGGGUUGUAAAGUACUUUCAGCGGGGAGGAAGGGAGUAAAGUUAAUACCUUUGCUCAUUGACGUUACCCGCAGAAGAAGCACCGGCGAACUCCG